UACGUAGGGUGCAAGCGUUGUCCGGAAUUAUUGGGCGUAAAGAGCUCGUAGGCGGUCUGUCGCGUCGGCUGUGAAAUCCCGAGGCUCAACCUCGGGUCUGCAGUCGAUACGGGCAAACUAGAGUAUUGCAGGGGAGACUGGAAUUCCUGGUGUAGCGGUGAAAUGCGCAGAUAUCAGGAGGAACACCGGUGGCGAAGGCAGGUCACUGGGCCGCAACUGACGCUGAGGAGCGAAAGCAUGGGGAGCGAACAGG
This 253-nucleotide ribosomal RNA is filed under the name uncultured bacterium. Its description in RNAcentral is "partial 16S ribosomal RNA". It matches the Rfam family "Bacterial small subunit ribosomal RNA", at positions 524 to 776 of the family's 1533-position model. The record is from RNAcentral.